UAUUGGGCGUAAGAGCUCGUAGGCGGUUUGUCGCGUCUGCCGUGAAAGUCCGGGGGUCAACUCCGGAUCUGCGGUGGGUACGGGCAGACUAGAGUGAUGUAGGGGAGACUGAAAUUCCUGGUGUAGCGGUGAAAUGCGCAGAUAUCAGGAGGAACACCGAUGGCGAAGGCAGGUCUCUGGGCAUUAACUGACGCUGAGGAGCGAAAGCAUGGGGAGCGAACAGGAUUAGAUACCCUGGUAGUCCAUGCCGUAAACGUUGGGCACUAGGUGUGGGGGACAUUCCACGUUUUCCGCGCCGUAGCUAACGCAUUAAGUGCCCCGCCUGGGGAGUACGGCCGCAAGGCUAAAACUCAAAGGAAUUGACGGGGGCCCGCACAAGCGGCGGAGCAUGCGGAUUAAUUCGAUGCAACGCGAAGAACCUUACCAAGGCUUGACAUGGGCCGGACCGGGCUGGAAACAGUCCUUCCCCUUUGGGGCCGGUUCACAGGUGGUGCAUGGUUGUCGUCAGCUCGUGUCGUGAGAUGUUGGGUUAAGUCCCGCAACGAGCGCAACCCUCGUUCCAUGUUGCCAGCGCGUAAUGGCGGGGACUCAUGGGAGACUGCCGGGGUCAACUCGGAGGAAGGUGGGGACGACGUCAAAUCAUCAUGCCCCUUAUGUCUUGGGCUUCACGCAUGCUACAAUGGCCGGUACAAAGGGUUGCGAUACUGUGAGGUGGAGCUAAUCCCAAAAAGCCGGUCUCAGUUCGGAUUGGGGUCUGCAACUCGACCCCAUGAAGUCGGAGUCGCUAGUAAUCGCAGAUCAGCAACGCUGCGGUGAAUACGUUCCCGGGCCUUGUACACACCGCCCGUCAAGUCACGAAAGUUGGUAACACCCGAAGCCGGUGGCCUAACCCCUUGUGGGAGGGAGCUGUCGAAGGUGGGACUGGCGAUUGGGACGAAGUCUAACAGGGUAA
RNAcentral lists this ribosomal RNA (952 nucleotides) under Arthrobacter sp. RNAcentral describes it as "bacterial SSU rRNA". It matches the Rfam family "Bacterial small subunit ribosomal RNA", at positions 552 to 1499 of the family's 1533-position model. Lineage: Bacteria; Bacillati; Actinomycetota; Actinomycetes; Micrococcales; Micrococcaceae. The record is from RNAcentral.